GUGUCUGUCGCCACAGAAGAUGGUAAUUGUGGCUAUUAAUUAAAUUCUAUUUUCCUUUGUAGUUGUUAAUCUUAUUUUCAGUUCUGUAUCUCUUUUUUCAGUGGACUUGAAUAGCUAGCUUUUCAGUUGAAAAUUUAAAAAUGAAAGAUGACGUAUUUUAUUCAUAGUUGGGAAAAGCAGAAGGUAAGAAGAUUUUUGAUGGACCAACUGGAAAUAGCUCCACCAGUAUAUUGGUGCUUCCUGUGUGAUUAUUCAUUAUCAGAAGUUGGGAAUCUGAGGUAGAUGAGUUUGGGUGGGUUAUUAUAGCUUGUGUUAUGUGAGUCAUGAAAUGUAAGGGUGAGCAUUAAACGGUUAAAAUCGAAAAACGGAACCGAACCGAUUUAGUUUAGUAUUUCGGUUUAGUUCAGUUUUAAUUUUUAAAAAAUUUUGUUUAUUACGUUCGGAUUAGUUAAUUCAGUAUAAAAAUCAAAUCAACCAAAUCGACUUGCUACUCUAUAAUACUACACUGUUUUACACCUUUCAAACCCUAGCUAUUUAAAUAUCUUAUUCUGCCUGUGUCUCUCAUUCCAUCAUGCCACAACAAUACCACCCUCCCUCCUCCCCCU
RNAcentral lists this unclassified non-coding RNA (605 nucleotides) under Hevea brasiliensis (rubber tree). The record is from RNAcentral. Lineage: Eukaryota; Viridiplantae; Streptophyta; Magnoliopsida; Malpighiales; Euphorbiaceae.